GACGAACGCUGGCGGCGUGCUUAACACAUGCAAGUCGAACGGAAAGGCCCUGCUUUUGUGGGGUGCUCGAGUGGCGAACGGGUGAGUAACACGUGAGUAACCUGCCCUUGACUUUGGGAUAACUUCAGGAAACUGGGGCUAAUACCGGAUAGGAGCUCCUGCUGCAUGGUGGGGGUUGGAAAGUUUCGGCGGUUGGGGAUGGACUCGCGGCUUAUCAGCUUGUUGGUGGGGUAGUGGCUUACCAAGGCUUUGACGGGUAGCCGGCCUGAGAGGGUGGCCGGCCACAAUGGGACUGAGGUACGGCGCAGACGCCUACGGGAGGCAGCAGUGGGGAAUAUUGCACAAUGGGAGGAAGCCUGAUGAAGCAACGCCGCGUGCGGGAUGACGGCCUUCGGGGUGUAAACCGCUGUCGCCUGUGACGAAGCGUGAGUGACGGUAAUGGGUAAAGAAGCACCGGCUAACUACGUG
Molecule: ribosomal RNA, 468 nt
Filed under: uncultured bacterium
Lineage: Bacteria
Description: partial 16S ribosomal RNA
Rfam family: Bacterial small subunit ribosomal RNA
Source: RNAcentral